This 305-nucleotide ribosomal RNA is filed under the name uncultured bacterium. RNAcentral's name for it is "bacterial SSU rRNA". It matches the Rfam family "Bacterial small subunit ribosomal RNA", at positions 337 to 660 of the family's 1533-position model. The record is from RNAcentral.
UCCUACGGGACGCAGCAGUGGGGGAUAUUGCACAAUGGGGGCAACCCUGAUGCAGCGACGCCGCGUGAGCGAUGGAGUACUUCGGUAUGUAAAGCUCUGUCAGCAGGGAAGAGAAUGACGGUACCUGACCAAGAAGCCCCGGCUAAAUACGUGCCAGCAGCCGCGGUAAUACGUAUGGGGCAAGCGUUAUCCGGAUUUACUGGGUGUAAAGGGAGCGUAGGCGGUCCGUUAAGUCAGCGGUAAAAUUGCGGGGCUCAACCCCGUCGAGCCGUUGAAACUGGCAGACUUGAGUUGGCGAGAAGUAC